This 67-nucleotide transfer RNA is filed under the name Ascalohybris subjacens. RNAcentral's name for it is "tRNA-His". It matches the Rfam family "tRNA". Rfam says of the family: Transfer RNA (tRNA) molecules are approximately 80 nucleotides in length. Their secondary structure includes four short double-helical elements and three loops (D, anti-codon, and T loops). Lineage: Eukaryota; Metazoa; Arthropoda; Insecta; Neuroptera; Myrmeleontidae. The record is from RNAcentral.
AUUUAAAUAGUUUAAUAAAAAUGUUGAUUUGUGGAAUCAAAGAUGUGAAUUUUAUUCAUUUUAAAUA